RNAcentral lists this ribosomal RNA (497 nucleotides) under uncultured bacterium. RNAcentral's name for it is "partial 16S ribosomal RNA". It matches the Rfam family "Bacterial small subunit ribosomal RNA", at positions 28 to 507 of the family's 1533-position model. The record is from RNAcentral.
GAUGAACGCUGGCGGCGUGCCUAAUACAUGCAAGUCGAGCGAACAGACGAGGAGCUUGCUCCUCUGACGUUAGCGGCGGACGGGUGAGUAACACGUGGAUAACCUACCUAUAAGACUGGGAUAACUUCGGGAAACCGGAGCUAAUACCGGAUAAUAUGUUGAACCGCAUGGUUCAAUAGUGAAAGACGGUUUUGCUGUCACUUAUAGAUGGAUCCGCGCCGCAUUAGCUAGUUGGUAAGGUAACGGCUUACCAAGGCAACGAUGCGUAGCCGACCUGAGAGGGUGAUCGGCCACACUGGAACUGAGACACGGUCCAGACUCCUACGGGAGGCAGCAGUAGGGAAUCUUCCGCAAUGGGCGAAAUCCUGACGGAGCAACGCCGCGUGAGUGAAGAAGGUCUUCGGAUCGUAAAACUCUGUUAUUAGGGAAGAACAAAUGUGUAAGUAACUAUGCACGUCUUGACGGUACCUAAUCAGAAAGCCACGGCUAACUACGUG